UAUUAGCCAUCUGAGGAUCAAGAGAAAAGUCUGAGCUCAAGGUACAGUUGAGACCAUCAGAGUAAAUGAAAUCAACCCAAAUGAAUAAGUAAAGCUAAGACUGCCAGGCAGACUAGUAUCAUAAAUGAGUGGGGACUGGUGGAGAAAGAAAAAAUACUGUACAAAUGAGUCAUCUAAAUGAGCAUGGCAAAUUUGGAAGACUAAGUCCCAUGUAAAAUCCUGCUACCCCAAAUGUGGCCCAUGGACUCUCCACACUGACAUUACUAAAAGCUUGUUAGAAAUGCAGAAUCUCAGUCCCAGCCCCAGGGCUACUAUACCCAAUAUUCAUGUUAACAGGAUUCCCAACUGAUACUCAGGCACUCUAAAAUAUGGGAAGCACAAGUCUAAAAGGUGUAAUUGUUGUUCUGCUCUAAACAAUUGUUUUGUGGUAAUACGGCCUGGUAUUAUCAUAUCUUCUGAUUUUCUUGCAGUAUUUUCCCAAUUUUAGGAGAUAGCGACUAUAACGUCAGGGUUUCAGAAGGAAGCAGUAUUACUCCAGAUGAUUUCAAAAGUAUAGCCUUCUAGCAAAGGCUGGUUAGCCCAAGAGAAUGAACAAUGCUGAGGCUUCAUGGGCCGGCAACAAUGCAGUGGGUGGGAAGCAUUACAGGCCGAUGGGGCUGAAGCCAAAGGAAAAGAAAUAACCAGAGCCUGCUAGGAGCUGGAGUGCUGGAGGAGGGACUGCUGGCUGAAGCCAGGCUAUUGCUGGAGACACAGCACUGAAGGAAGGAAUAAGUAAGAGAGAAGCACCGUGACUUCUUCUCUUCAAUGUUCUGCUGCUGUCUUCUGUUCACCAAACCCACACAUCAGCCAACACCAAGGGAGCCUGCAAGAGUCACCUUUCAAGGCAAGUGAGUAGGGCAAAAACAGGGAGAAAAAAAAAUACUGUGCAGGUCAAGCCAAAAGGUCUUUGGGUUGUAUCUGGACCAGAGAGAGAGAGCCAAGAAUGAAAUCCUGGAGCAAACCACCUGGACCACACCAUGUGGGUGCAAUCCAUUGGCUUUUUAUGUGGUGCCAUUUUGAAUGAGGAGAAAGGAUGUGGUACAAAAGAGUAGCUCAGGAUCUAAAGGAGGCCCAGAAACCACCCAAGAAUCUCCACAAAGCAGGAGCUGUCAUUCUCUGUUUACCUCUUUGUCAUGGUCUGUGCACGUGGGUCAGAAAAAAGAAUUUCCCAGCAUAGUGAGGUGAAGAGAAAGAAGAGUUUAUUGAGAUGAGAUGCUGCUAGGGCAGUGGGAUGACUUCCUGAUGAUCAGGGAAAGCCAACUUGGGCAUGUGGUCAUGUCUGUUUUUAUAACCCAGGGAAAGGAGAGGUCUUAUGAUACACCUGCUGACCUGCAGUUUGGUUGGGAAAAGAGGGGUCUUACCAUACAAUUUCUGGUUGGUUGGGGGGCUUAUAAAACCCCUAUAGGGGCAGGGUAAGGAGUGGGUUACAUACCUUUUCUAGUAGGAGGUAGGAAGGAGUAGGCCAGGUUGCUCAAGCCUGGGGAGGAGGCAUUACGAUGAGAUGGUGGGGGGUGAUAAGGGUCUGGUAAUUCUUGUCCAGAGGUUUUAAGUUCAAUCUCCUUGAAGGGGCCCUGAAGUCCAACACUUGUCUUAUCUUCCUUUCACUUUUUCUCCUAUAGCCUGCAUUCCCAGAUUUCUGUCUUUUCCCUUAGGUGAGUCCCUUUAAUGAGGAUCCCAGUGGCAUUCAUGGAAAUAAUCUGAGCCAGUUUCAUCCAACUGUUCAAACAGCAAAAAUCGGCUCCCCAUAUUGGCCACACCCCCACAAGAUGCUGGCCAAUCUGGCCAGCCACAGGUACAAAAGCACCUUGGUACUGCACUGCAUGCCUCAGAUUUUGGUGCUCACUGAACAGCUGCUUUUCUUCCUGCACAGAUGUUAAUCUUCCAUUAUGAUUAAUAGAUCAGGUGUUUAUAUUACCAAAUGUUGCCUGAUUUUCUGUAAAGUUGCCUCAUCACUGUUGUACAGUGUUUCUGCCUGGUCACAAGGGUGUCCAGUCACAAGAACAACUUGAAACAGCAGUAAAGCUAUCUUAGCAAAUGAAAUAAAUAUUUGGGGAGAAGAUAAACUCAGAUGUGUUUGUUCCAGAAUAGUAAUCACGAUAAAAUUUCCAUCUUCAUUUGUUGAUGUUUAUCCUUCUUUCGGUGGUUCUUUUGGAAUUCUUUGAUACAUUUUGUACAGUGGUAUUUUAUUUUGAUUUCUGGAAAAUUACUUGGUGAUCUGGUGUAUAAAAAUGAAAUAUCAGAGGUAAAUAUGCUUUUAAUUGUUUUUUUUGUGGUGGUGAUGAAAUUGCAUGCAUCUAUUAGCACUCCUUUCUACUGAUUCUUUAUAGGGUUAUUGUAGGACUGAAUAUUUGAUCAAAUAUUAUCCUCAUCCCAACCUACACAUUUAUCUAGAGCAAGUUUGCUAAAGUGACAAGACUUAUAAGCCUUCUCUCUCCUAGACAGAGAGAGAGAGAGAGAGAGAGAGGGUUGUUAUGUCUGUGCACCAAAAGUAUUAGGAAAUGAGUUGUUUUUAUUUGUCUUUCUUACUUUUCAUGUAGACUUCUGUUGUCCUACAUCUGGCAUAUAACAUAUGUCGAAGAACAGAAAGUUGGAAAACUCACUUGAAGACUUUUUUUUUUGGUCUUUUGUCUUUUUAGGGCCACACCCGAGGCAUAUGGAGAUUCCCCAGCUAGGGGUCCAAUAUUAUAGCUGUUGGCCUAUACCACAGCCACAAGCAACGUGGGAUCCAAGCCACAUCCUCAACCUACACCACAUCUCAUGGUAAUGCCGGAUACUUAACCCACUGAGCGAGGCCAGGGAUUGAACCUGCAACCUCAUGGUUACUAGUUGGGUUUGUUAAACACUGAGUCACGAGGGGAACUUCUCAUGUGAAGACUUUUGUUCAAAAUGGCACAUGGCAGACAACCACAAUGGAACCCAGGACAGAUGUUGUUCCUUGCCUACCUCAAUUCCAUUCCAUCUUUUUCUUUGAUAAUGCUGGGUUUUGUUUGAUAAGCUUCAGGGACUAAACCAUAAUAGGUCUAAACUAAUUAUGAUAUUCUGGUUCACUUUGCCAUUGACUGGGGAAGGACAGUGAGGGGAUGGACUUCUUCCUUUCUUUUUUUUGGUCUUUUCUAGGGCCACACCCACGGCAUAUGGAGGUUCCCAGGCUAGGGGUCUAAUUGGAGCUGUAGCCACUGGCCUAUGCCAGAGCCACAUAUGCAACCUACACCACAGCUCACGGCAACACCGGAUCCUUAACCCACUGAGCCAGGUCAGUGAUUGAACCUGAAACAUCAAGGUUCCUAGUCGGAUUUGUUAACCACUGAGCCACGAUGGGAACUCCAGGAUGGACUUCUGAGAAUAAUUUUACUCUUUGAUUGAAGGAGAGGACCAUAUGAAAGCCCUUUUUCUUUCUGCCUACCUCCUUUUUUUUUUUUUUUUAGCUUUGGUCAUUGUCAUAUGAGGAUUUAAUGCCUGGAGCUGUGGCAAUUUAUUUUGUGACAUGAGGCAAACUGCAUGAGAAUGGAAGCUGGCAUGCUAAGAAUGGUACCAAAGGAUGGACAGAAUCUGUGUCUGUGACACUAUUAUUGAAUUGGCUUUACCUUGGAAUUGCUUUAUCCUGUACUUUUGUUAAUAUCACAAUAGAGAUUUUCUAUUCCUUGCAAUUAAAAAUAGCACCUCUCUUUAGAUUUUGGAAUCCAAUUUCAAUGUUUGGUAGAAUAGGUUUUAACACACUAACAAACAAUUCUCUAGACACCAUUAGUGUGUUCUACAAUUCAAUUCAAUUCAAUUCUGACACUAGCUACCUGGAAAUAGAAUCAGAUUCCAUAGCUUAGGGGCUCAGUCCCUCCAUACUGCCCCCAUCCACAUUUCUGAUGCCAGUAGCAAAUCCAAGUUGUCACUGGGCUUCUGACCAACCAGGUGCAGACUAGAGGUUCCAAUGACCUCCUCCUUGGACUUCAGAUGCCAGUCACAAGUCCAGGUUGUUAUCUGUACUUCCAACUUGUUAUAAAUCAGGGGUUCCUACAACCCUCUCCUCAAAGUCGAUCAAUUUGCUAGAGCAGCUCACAGAAUAGAGGAACAUUCUGUUUACUGGAUUACCAAUUUACUACAAAAGGAUAUAACUUAGGAACAUCCAGAUGAAGAUAUGCAUAAGCCAAGGUUAUGGAGAAAGGACAUGGUGCUUCUGUGCCCUCUCCAGACUCUCCACAAAUCUCCAUGUGCUCCUGAACCUUCUCCUUUUGGAUUUUACUGGAUGCUUCAUUGAUAACCAUGAUGGUUUAAAUCAUUGCCUAUUGGCAACUGAACUCAAUCUCCUCUCUUCUCCCUGAGGGUCAACAGAGUGAAAGUCUUAAACCCUCUGGUCACUGGGUUGGCUCUACUGACAAUAAAUCCCCAUCCUUAAGUUACCUACCUGCUUUCCGAAGGCCACAUUAACAACACAAAAGAUACCUUUAUAGCUCUCACCACUUAGGAAAUUCCAGUGGUUUUACAAACUCCGUGCCAGAAAAGGGGAAAGAGACCAAAUAUGUAUUUUUUAUUAUAAAGCAGAAGAUCAUACCUUUGAAUACAUAGCCUCUUCCAAUUUCUCACUGACACAGGAAAAGUACUAGCAACUCAUUCCAAAAACAAAACAACAUCAAAACGCCCUUACCAUUACCCUUUCCCCUGUGCUUCUGUCACCAUAAAAGUUUAUUCACUGAGAAAUUAUCCAGGAAAGCACCACUACAUUUCACAGGCUUAGGCCAACUUCCUCUAUGAUGACUCAAGGCUCCUGACACCAAGUCAUGUUGGGUAAAUAAAGGUCCUGGUAAUAUAAAUUCCUUUCGCCAUCAUAAAGGAGAGCAUCACUGGUGUAAACAUCCUGUAUUCAAGAAGCACCAUAAUUCUCUUAUAUAAAUGUCUAAACCACAACAAUAAACAUGGCCUGUGUAUUAUUAUACAUCACAGGAAUCCACAAAGUUAUAAUUUGCUAAGGAAAGCAACAUUUCCAUUUUCUGCCUUAAUUAUCUUAUGAGCCUUCUUAUAAUCGUAAAUUCAGAUACUGAUUUUUAAAAAGCAAUUCAUCUGUACUUGUUUGCAUGUAUCAUUCUGCAAAUAGAAUGCUAGUUUAAAUGUGUUUGUGUGCAUGUGUGUGUGUGUGUGUGUGUGUUGUGUGUGUGCAUCUACCAUUCAGGAAAUACUGUCAUUUACUCAUUAAACAAACCAUUAGUAACUAAUUAAACUUGCUUAUAUGUAUACAGAUAUUCAUAGGGUUGAACUAACAUGAAAAGAAUGUCAGGAAAACCAUAUGGAAAUCAGAUCCCAUACUGAAUGGACUUCAAGAAGAGUGAACUUCCAGGACCUUGACCUUCAGCUAAACACUCUGCUUGGAAACUUGAAUGCUGACUUCAUUUUUUGUAAUAUCAAGGGCUUACUGCCAAUUUUUAGUAUACUUUGUUAUUGUAGCUCUGUUUUUUAAAGAGUCCUUGUGAUUUAGGGAUCUAAACUAAAAUAUUUACAGGUGAAAUGAAUGGUAUAACGUCUGGCAUUUGCUUUAAAAGAAUAUGGGAAGUGGGAAGUGGGAAUAUAUUGGAGACUAAAUUAGUCAUAAGCUGAUCAUUGCAGCUGAAUAUAAUCACAUGGUUACAUGAUGGCUCAUUAUACUGUUUUGUCUACUUUUAAAAAACUUUGUAAGGGAAAUCUCAAUUUUCAUGAAUUGAACAUACCUGGGUACCUGGCAUUCCGAUGAAGGAAGAAAUAUUACCAGAACCUCAGAAGACCCCAUUGGUGCCCCUCUUACUAAUAUCCUCCACUUUUCCUCUGGUGAUCACCAUCCUGGCUUCUGUUUAUACGAAUGGAACACUCAUAUAUGCCUUGGUUUUUCAUUCAAGAU
RNAcentral lists this long non-coding RNA (5896 nucleotides) under Sus scrofa (pig). Its description in RNAcentral is "lncRNA (ENSSSCG00000059233.1)". The record is from RNAcentral. Lineage: Eukaryota; Metazoa; Chordata; Mammalia; Artiodactyla; Suidae.